GACGAACGCUGGCGGCGUGCUUAACACAUGCAAGUCGAACGAAGAGCGACGGAAGCUUGCUUCUAUCAAUCUUAGUGGCGAACGGGUGAGUAACGCGUAAUCAACCUGCCCUUCAGAGGGGGACAACAGUUGGAAACGACUGCUAAUACCGCAUACGAUCUAACCUCGGCAUCGAGGAUAGAUGAAAGGUGGCCUCUACAUGUAAGCUAUCACUGAAGGAGGGGAUUGCGUCUGAUUAGCUAGUUGGGGGGGUAACGGCCCACCAAGGCGAUGAUCAGUAGCCGGUCUGAGAGGAUGAACGGCCACAUUGGGACUGAGACACGGCCCAGACUCCUACGGGAGGCAGCAGUGGGGAAUCUUCCGCAAUGGACGAAAGUCUGACGGAGCAACGCCGCGUGAGUGAUGACGGCCUUCGGGUUGUAAAGCUCUGUUAAUCGGGACGAAAGGCCUUCUUGCGAAUAGUGAGAAGGAUUGACGGUACCGGAAUAGAAAGCCACGGCUAACUACGUG
Molecule: ribosomal RNA, 510 nt
Filed under: uncultured bacterium
Lineage: Bacteria
Description: partial 16S ribosomal RNA
Rfam family: Bacterial small subunit ribosomal RNA
Source: RNAcentral